RNAcentral lists this transfer RNA (76 nucleotides) under Candidatus Nomurabacteria bacterium. Its description in RNAcentral is "tRNA-Glu". It matches the Rfam family "tRNA". From Rfam's summary of the family: Transfer RNA (tRNA) molecules are approximately 80 nucleotides in length. Their secondary structure includes four short double-helical elements and three loops (D, anti-codon, and T loops). RNAcentral also lists the same sequence under 1 other name. The record is from RNAcentral. Lineage: Bacteria; Candidatus Nomuraibacteriota.
GGCCCCAUCGUCUAGUGGACUAGGACAUCAGGUUUUCAUCCUGGAAACGGGGGUUCAAUUCCCCCUGGGGUCACCA